AGCGAACAUUGGCGGUAGGCUUAACACAUGCAAGUCGAGCGAGGCGUAAUAGUCGAGCGGCGAACGGGUGAGUAAUACUUGGGAAUCUGCCCUGAAGUGGGGGAUAACGUCCAGAAAUGGACGCUAAUACCGCAUAAUCCAUAUCGGGAAAGCGCGCUGCGCUUUAGGAUGAGCCCAAGUCUGAUUAGCUAGUUGGCGGGGUAAAGGCCCACCAAGGCGACGAUCAGUAGCUGGUCUGAGAGGAUGAUCAGCCACACUGGAACUGAGACACGGUCCAGACUCCUACGGGAGGCAGCAGUGGGGGAAUCUUGCGCAAUGGGGGCAACCCUGACGCAGCCAUACCGCGUGUGUGAUGAAGGUCUUCGGAUUGUAAAGCACUUUCAGCGGGGACGGACAAUGACGGUACCCGCAGAAGAAGUACACGGCUAACUUCGUGCCAGCAGCCGCCGGGUAAU
This 455-nucleotide ribosomal RNA is filed under the name uncultured bacterium. RNAcentral's name for it is "bacterial SSU rRNA". It matches the Rfam family "Bacterial small subunit ribosomal RNA", at positions 29 to 524 of the family's 1533-position model. The record is from RNAcentral.